UUCGUAGGUGGCAAGCGUUGUCCGGAAUUACUGGGUGUAAAGGGAGCGCAGGCGGGAAGCCAAGUCAGCUGUGAAAACUACGGGCUUAACUUGUAGACUGCAGUUGAAACUGGUUUUCUUGAGUGAAGUAGAGGUUGGCGGAAUUCCGAGUGUAGCGGUGAAAUGCGUAGAUAUUCGGAGGAACACCGGUGGCGAAGGCGGCCAACUGGGCUUUAACUGACGCUGAGGCUCGAAAGUGUGGGGAGCAAACAGG
RNAcentral lists this ribosomal RNA (253 nucleotides) under uncultured bacterium. RNAcentral describes it as "partial 16S ribosomal RNA". It matches the Rfam family "Bacterial small subunit ribosomal RNA", at positions 524 to 776 of the family's 1533-position model. The record is from RNAcentral.